RNAcentral lists this long non-coding RNA (237 nucleotides) under Volvox carteri. RNAcentral describes it as "long non-coding RNA (VCAR_LNC002127)". Lineage: Eukaryota; Viridiplantae; Chlorophyta; Chlorophyceae; Chlamydomonadales; Volvocaceae. The record is from RNAcentral.
UUUUACGAAAUGGAACACUGUACGUGAUAUGCGCCGGACAGAUAUAUAGGGUUUGGCACUACUGGUAAGGCGCGACCAUUGCCCCCGGAGAUCCCGGAAUCGAUACCCAUUAGGGUCAAAGUCCUUCCGAUGGUGGAAGGCAUUGCGCCCCUAGUUGAUGGACGGUGGUGACCUGGGAUAAAAUUAACCUGCGAGCGGACCAGGAACGGAGUUGGGCCGCUGUCGACCCGGCAGAUU